UACGUAGGGGGCCAGCGUUGUCCGGACUUACUGGGCGUAAAGCGCGCGCAGGUGGACGAGUAUGUGCCGUGUGAAAGCGCCGUCCUUACGAUGGUGAGGUCAUGGUAGACAGCUUGUCUAGAGGCUCGAAGAGGUCGAUGGAAUUCCGGGUGGAGCGGUGAAAUGCGUAGAGAUCCGGAGGAACACCAGUGGCGAAGGCGACACGCUGGGCCGUACCUGACACUAAAACGCGACAGCAUGGGGAGCGAACGGG
Molecule: ribosomal RNA, 253 nt
Filed under: uncultured bacterium
Lineage: Bacteria
Description: partial 16S ribosomal RNA
Rfam family: Bacterial small subunit ribosomal RNA
Source: RNAcentral